UGCACAGCCAUAAACUUUGAUAGUAUACUACAACCACUAUCCGCCCGGGUACUACGAGCAUUAGCUUAAAACCCAAAGGACUUGGCGGUGCUUUAGAUCCACCUAGAGGAGCCUGUUCUAGAACCGAUAACCCCCGUUCAACCUCACCUUCUCUUGCCCUCCCCGUCUAUAUACCGCCGUCGUCAGCAUACCCUGUGAAGGGAUAAUAGUAAGCAAAAUUGGUAUAACCCAAAACGCCAGGUCGAGGUGUAGCAUAUGAGAAGGGAAGAAAUGGGCUACAUUUCCUUUGUAAGGAAACACGGAUUGUACUAUGAAACUAGUGCAUGAAGGAGGAUUUAACAGUAAGUAGGAAAAAGAGCGUCUUACUGAACCUGGCCCUGAAGCGCGCACACACCGCCCGUCACUCUCCCCAAGCCACUUACAUAUAUUUUUAAAAAACUAAACAGGCAAAGGGGAGGCAAGUCGUAACAUGGUAAGUGUACCGGAAGGUGCACUUGGAAAAAU
This 504-nucleotide ribosomal RNA is filed under the name Anatolichthys anatoliae anatoliae. RNAcentral's name for it is "Aphanius anatoliae anatoliae partial 12S ribosomal RNA". It matches the Rfam family "Bacterial small subunit ribosomal RNA", at positions 793 to 1533 of the family's 1533-position model. The record is from RNAcentral. Lineage: Eukaryota; Metazoa; Chordata; Actinopteri; Cyprinodontiformes; Aphaniidae.